GAUGAACGCUGGCGGCGUGCCUAAUACAUGCAAGUCGAGCGAACAGACGAGGAGCUUGCUCCUCUGACGUUAGCGGCGGACGGGUGAGUAACACGUGGAUAACCUACCUAUAAGACUGGGAUAACUUCGGGAAACCGGAGCUAAUACCGGAUAAUAUAUUGAACCGCAUGGUUCAAUAGUGAAAGACGGUUUUGCUGUCACUUAUAGAUGGAUCCGCGCCGCAUUAGCUAGUUGGUAAGGUAACGGCUUACCAAGGCAACGAUGCGUAGCCGACCUGAGAGGGUGGUCGCCCACACUGGAACUGAGACACGGUCCAGACUCCUACGGGAGGCAGCAGUAGGGAAUCUUCCGCAGUGGGCGAAAGCCUGACGGAGCAACGCCGCGUGAGUGAUGAAGGUCUUCGGAUCGUAAAACUCUGUUAUUAGGGAAGAACAAAUGUGUAAGUAACUAUGCACGUCUUGACGGUACCUAAUCAGAAAGCCACGGCUAACUACGUG
This 497-nucleotide ribosomal RNA is filed under the name uncultured bacterium. RNAcentral describes it as "partial 16S ribosomal RNA". It matches the Rfam family "Bacterial small subunit ribosomal RNA", at positions 28 to 507 of the family's 1533-position model. The record is from RNAcentral.